Molecule: long non-coding RNA, 1433 nt
Organism: Marmota monax (woodchuck)
Lineage: Eukaryota; Metazoa; Chordata; Mammalia; Rodentia; Sciuridae
Exons: 4
Source: RefSeq, a predicted model, not a curated record
CCCUGGAAGGCACUGUAAUCCAUUUCACCGAUCCUAGGGUCUGGUUGCAGGUCGGCCAGGGCUCAAAUUGGCCGUCUCAGAGCAGCCAUGCUUUCAAGCAUGAGCCAACACUCAGGGUCUGUGUCCUUGGACUGAAUCCUCAGAGGAUUCAAAAUCCAUCGUGUGUGCUUCUGAGAGUAACUUUAGCAUGCACAUUUUUUUCUCGGUAUCUAAAUCCUUUAAGAUGUUCUCACCGUGGGUCAAAUGGAGUGAUCCCAGUGUUGUGUUUCCUUACAUCACCUCUAAAGCAGAAACCCGAGAAGGGCAGAAUGAUAUUCUGUUGUAAGUGUGUCCACUCAUCUAAGGAUGGACACAGACGAUAUCCACAUGAGGUGCUGAUUUCCAUAGGAGGGGUGCGGAUAUCCGUGAGGUGCUGAUUUCAUUCCACUGGUUCUGUCCCCAGCAGAGGGAUUCCACGUCACCUGCCAGCUCUGUUCUUGAUGCUGUAAGCACUGUCUUUCUUACCCUCAGCCACCUGUUUGAGCUGCUUUCUAGAAAGCUCUCCAGGUGGGUUGAUUGCUGCUUGAGGAUUGGUUCAGCUGGACAACUUGUCCGUGGUGAUGGGUGUACCGACAGAAGGUUCCAGAGGCAGAGUGGUGCCCGGGAGCUCCGUCCCUGCUCCACAGUGUGCCGAGUGCAGCAGACGUCGCGGAGGACAUGAGAUCAAUGAAGGGAACAGCUGCGGCCAUGAGAGCCAUUGACCUGCUCAGUGACAAGGAAGAGUGCUCACAUGGUAGAGAACGCGCCUUUUCUGCCUUCAGUCCCCCUCACCCAGCACCGGGACCUGCUGGCUUCACCUGACGAGAAAGUUUAGCACCGGGUAACAGUGAGGUGGGAGCAGCGGCUGCAGCCUUGCAUGAAGACAUGGGUAGGAAUUAUUCAAGCUACGACACUAGAUCACCUGCGAGAUUGUGCCCAGAUAUUUGGCCGGCUUGCCUGUCGACACGCAGGCAGCCCCUACUGGGGCUGUUAAGUGCUCUUGAUUGGCCUGGACAGCCCUGCUUCCCCAGGGGAAGUUUUAGGAUGAAAAAAUAUAAUCAGAAGGGACCCGGCAGAAGACAGAAGCCAAAAGGGUUCCAGAAUGGACCACUGUGGGCGGGACUGCUUGGGAAGUCUGCACAGAGCCUGUCAGAUUAUCUGUCUGCAGCAAUUAUGUUGAUAAAUUUGCCACAGGUCGCAUCUUAGCCGUUGCAUCAUUUUGUGGUGUGUCACCAGGAAGCACAGGCCUCUGUUUGGGCCCCUCCUGGCACAAGGAGGAAGAGACACAGGUGACUGCUCACGUGGGUCUGUUGCAAAUGCCCUCAGAGUACUUGCCUUCCUGUGUCUCCUUUUACCAGUCCUGGGACUUAAUCUGUCUAAAUGAAAGUUGUCUUCGGUUGCUCCAGGUCUUUACU